CUGGCAAAUCUGACCGGCGCAAGGACUUCGUACCGAGUAAUCUAUUACAAUAACGACUCUAUGAUACUGGCUGAUAGAGUCCCAGGUGUGUGGGACCAAGCAUUGUGUUCACUCUGGACGACCGAAAAUUAUUUUAGGAAAAGUGAAAGAGACCUACCUGCAUCAACAAAAGCUUAUUACCGGUCGAACUGCGAAGAUCCUAAAUACGUUCCCUUUCCUACCUCCUGUUGGACUUGAUCUGAUAAAGAAGAAAAAACGUAUUGUUUGAAAUAUUCA
Dermacentor andersoni is the source of this 276-nucleotide non-coding RNA. The record is from RefSeq and is a predicted model, not a curated record. NCBI's taxonomy places the organism in Eukaryota, Metazoa, Arthropoda, Arachnida, Ixodida, Ixodidae.